RNAcentral lists this ribosomal RNA (440 nucleotides) under uncultured bacterium. RNAcentral describes it as "partial 16S ribosomal RNA". It matches the Rfam family "Bacterial small subunit ribosomal RNA", at positions 338 to 795 of the family's 1533-position model. The record is from RNAcentral.
CCUACGGGGGGCUGCAGUGGGGGAUAUUGCACAAUGGGGGAAACCCUGAUGCAGCGACGCCGCGUGUGGGAAGACGGUCUUCUGGAUUGUAAACCACUGUCCCCAGGGACGAAAAUGACGGUACCUGGGGAGGAAGCUCCGGCUAACUACGUGCCAGCAGCCGCGGUAAUACGUAGGGAGCAAGCGUUGUCCGGAAUUACUGGGUGUAAAGGGAGCGUAGGCGGGGAUGCAAGUUGGGUGUCAAAACUACCGGCUCAACCGAUAGUCGCACUCAAAACUGCAGCUCUUGAGUGAAGUAGAGGCAGGCGGAAUUCCUAGUGUAGCGGUGAAAUGCGUAGAUAUUAGGAGGAACACCAGUGGCGAAGGCGGUCUGCUGGACAGCAACUGACGCUGAGGCGCGAAAGCGUGGGGAGCAAACAGGAUUAGAUACCCCAGUAGUC